RNAcentral lists this ribosomal RNA (253 nucleotides) under uncultured bacterium. RNAcentral describes it as "partial 16S ribosomal RNA". It matches the Rfam family "Bacterial small subunit ribosomal RNA", at positions 524 to 776 of the family's 1533-position model. The record is from RNAcentral.
GACAGAGGUCCCAAGCGUUAGGCGGAAUCACUGGGCUUAAAGCGUGUGUAGGCGGAUUUGUAAGUACCUUGUGAAAUCCCACGGCUCAACCGUGGAACUGCUUGGUAUACUGCUUAUCUUGGGUCGUCUAGGGGCGAGCGGAACAAACGGUGGAGCGGUGAAAUGCGUAGAUAUCGUUUGGAACGCCAAUGGUGAAAACAGCUCGCUGGGGACGUACCGACGCUGAGACGCGAAAGCGUGGGGAGCAAACAGG